CUUGUCUUGUUGCUAUUAUUGCAACAUAAUGUUUUCUAAAUUCAUAUUUUAAUAAUUUAUAUUACCUACUAUUGCAAACUUCCUGGUUUAAAACAACAGAAAUUUGAAACCUGCUUCCUUGGGUCAUAAUGAAAAAUCAGGAGGACUGUUCUUCCUCUGGAGAUAUUCAUAAAGAGCUCAUGGUUUGUCACUUCUAGUUUCUGGUGGAUGCCAGCAUUCUGUGGCUUGUGGCUGCAUCCCUCCCAUCUCUGCCUCUGUGGUUACACUGCCUUCUCUGACUCUACCUGUGUCAAACUUCCCUCUCUGCCUUUCUCUUAUAAAACACUCCUAGUGCCUUUCAGAGCCCACCUGGGUAAUCCAGGAUGUUCUCCCUAUCUCAAAAUUCUUAAUUCCAUCAGUAAAUUCUUUUUGCCAUAGGUAACCUUUAAAAAUUCCAGAGGUCAGGACCCAAUGCAUUUGGGAGUCAUAAUUCAGUUUACCACGACGGCUAUCAGAAUGGGGCCUGGGCCCACCCUUCCCCCAGGUUUAAUCCUGGUUCUGCACGGAAUGAGGUUUCAGUGCUUUGUCACAUACAAAAUGGGAUGGGAAUCCAUGGAGUUCUACCAAGAUAUUUCCCAAUAGGUCACUAGAUGUGGGUUAUGCUGGGACUACACCAUUUUGAAUGCCUGUUUAUAAAGAAAGGCAUGGAGAAAAUGAUGAUCUAAUGCUGAAGAAAAUUGCAGCCUUUAGGAUAGACAGUCCAGGCUUGGGGUGUAAAAAGACUUGUAGUUUUCACAGCCUGCUUAGUUCAGGGAAAUUUAUCUUGUGGUAUCAAGGCUGUUUCAGAGAUUCAUUCUUCAGCAUACCUCUUUGGACUGAGAAAGAGGGAUCAUUUGAAAAAUACAUUGAGAAAUGCAACUACCAGUUCUCCUGGAGACUAUUUAGUCUCAUGUGUUUGGAAUGCAGCAUUCACUGAGAGAACCAGCAGAGCCCUGACAGAGUAGAAUUUACUUUGGGACAAAGGUGGGA
This 1008-nucleotide long non-coding RNA is filed under the name Fukomys damarensis (Damara mole-rat). RNAcentral describes it as "lncRNA (ENSFDAG00000021816.1)". The record is from RNAcentral. Lineage: Eukaryota; Metazoa; Chordata; Mammalia; Rodentia; Bathyergidae.